RNAcentral lists this ribosomal RNA (327 nucleotides) under Cryptococcus sp. 06w1/00. RNAcentral's name for it is "eukaryotic LSU rRNA". It matches the Rfam family "Eukaryotic large subunit ribosomal RNA", at positions 301 to 638 of the family's 3401-position model. Lineage: Eukaryota; Fungi; Basidiomycota; Tremellomycetes; Tremellales; Cryptococcaceae. The record is from RNAcentral.
GAAUUCCAUCUAAAGCUAAAUAUUGGCGAGAGACCGAUAGCGAACAAGUACCGUGAGGGAAAGAUGAAAAGCACUUUGGAAAGAGAGUUAAACAGUACGUGAAAUUGUUGAAAGGGAAACGAUUGAAGUCAGUCAUGCUCUUUGGUAUUUAUAUCAUUGAGUGGGGUCAACAUCAGUUUUGAUCGAUGGAUAAAGGUACUAGGAAGGUAGCACUCUCGGGUGAACUUAUAGCCUAGCGUCAUAUACAUUGAUUGGGACUGAGGAACGCAGCAUGCCUUUAUGGCCGGGAUUCGUCCACGUACAUGCUUAGGAUGUUGACAUAAUGGC